ACCCUCUAUUAGAAUAUAUCCCACAUCGAGACUUUAAUAAUUUGUGGAGCAAUAUAUAAGUAUGUGGUAAAUCUCUACUCUUGAGUUACCUUUUGAGUAUUAGUUAGGCUCAUACUAAUAUGGUAUCAGAGCCUAUAGUUUCAAUGUGUCUCGAUUGUGGACCACCCGUGGAUGUGAAGUUCCACAAACUUCACGCUUCAGAUGUCCAGUCCUGAGCGUGAGGGAGGUAUGUUAGAAUAUGUCCCACAUCGAGACUUUAAUAAUUUGUCGAGCAAUAAAUAAGUAUAUGGUAAACCUCCACUUUUAAGCUAGCUUUUGGGUGUGAGUUAGGCCCAUACUGAUACUCUCAGUCUCUCAUUACAUUAAAUUUUACUUAGUUUUUGUAUCCAAUAUAUUUAAAGUUUAUAUCCAAGAGAUCACUAAACUCAAGGAAAAUUUAACAACUAGAAAAUUAUUAGACCUUAUCAUGAAUUCUUUCCAGCCUCAGUAAUAAAACAAAUGUCGUUACAGAGAGUCAAUUUUU
This 523-nucleotide small RNA is filed under the name Arabidopsis thaliana (thale cress). RNAcentral describes it as "ATSL098590". Lineage: Eukaryota; Viridiplantae; Streptophyta; Magnoliopsida; Brassicales; Brassicaceae. The record is from RNAcentral.